GUUGGGCACUCUAGAGAGACUGCCGGUGUCAAACCGGAGGAAGGUGGGGAUGACGUCAGGUCAGCAUGCCCCUUACGUCUUGGGCUACACACGUACUACAAUGCUACGGACAGAGGGCAGCAAGCCGGCAACGGCAAGCAAAUCCCGUAAACCGUGGCUCAGUUCAGAUCGAAGCUUGCAACUCAGCUUCGUGAAGGAGGAAUCGCUAGUAAUUGCAGGUCAGCAUACUGCAGUGAAUUCGUUCCCGGGCCUUGUACACACCGCCCGUCACACCAUGGAAGCUGGCAACGCCCGAAGUCAUUACUCUAACCAUUCGUGGGGGAGGAUGCCUAAGGCAGUGCUGGUGACUGGGGUGAAGUCGUAACAAGGUAGCCGUACCGGAAGGUGUGGCUGGAUCACCUCCUUU
Molecule: non-coding RNA, 406 nt
Filed under: Aliterella atlantica CENA595
Lineage: Bacteria; Bacillati; Cyanobacteriota; Cyanophyceae; Chroococcidiopsidales; Aliterellaceae
Description: Bacterial small subunit ribosomal RNA
Rfam family: Bacterial small subunit ribosomal RNA
Source: Rfam by way of RNAcentral